RNAcentral lists this ribosomal RNA (328 nucleotides) under uncultured eukaryote. RNAcentral describes it as "partial 18S ribosomal RNA". It matches the Rfam family "Eukaryotic small subunit ribosomal RNA", at positions 1470 to 1796 of the family's 1831-position model. The record is from RNAcentral.
CCCUUAGAUGUUCUGGGCCGCACGCGCGCUACACUGAUACGUUCAACGAGUUUAUAACCUUGAUUGAUAGGUCUGGGUAAUCUUUUGAAUGCGUAUCGUGCUAGGGAUAGAUUAUUGCAAUUAUUAAUCUUGAACGAGGAAUUCCUAGUAAACGCAAGUCAUCAGCUUGCAUUGAUUACGUCCCUGCCCUUUGUACACACCGCCCGUCGCACCUACCGAUUGGAUGGUCCGGUGAAGCCUCGGGAUUGUGGUUCUUGCCGCUUUAUUGUGGCGUGACCGCGAGAACUUGUCUAAACCUUAUCAUCUAGAGGAAGGUGAAGUCGUAACA